UAUCCAACCUGCCCACCACUUGGGGAUAACCUUGCGAAAGUAAGACUAAUACCCAAUGACGUCUCUAGAAGACAUCUGAAAGAGAUUAAAGAUUUAUCGGUGAUGGAUGGGGAUGCGUCUGAUUAGCUUGUUGGCGGGGUAACGGCCCACCAAGGCUACGAUCAGUAGGGGUUCUGAGAGGAAGGUCCCCCACAUUGGAACUGAGACACGGUCCAAACUCCUACGGGAGGCAGCAGUGAGGAAUAUUGGUCAAUGGACGAGAGUCUGAACCAGCCAAGUAGCGUGCAGGAUGACGGCCCUAUGGGUUGUAAACUGCUUUUAUAAGGGAAUAAAGUGAGUCUCGUGAGGCUUUUUGCAUGUACCUUAUGAAUAAGGACCGGCUAAUUCCGUGCCAGCAGCCGCGGUAAUACGGAAGGUCCGGGCGUUAUCCGGAUUUAUUGGGUUUAAAGGGAGCGUAGGCCGGAGAUUAAGCGUGUUGUGAAAUGUAGACGCUCAACGUCUGCACUGCAGCGCGAACUGGUUUCCUUGAGUACGCACAAAGUGGGCGGAAUUCGUGGUGUAGCGGUGAAAUGCUUAGAUAUCACGAAGAACUCCGAUUGCGAAGGCAGCUCACUGGAGCGCAACUGACGCUGAAGCUCGAAAGUGCGGGUAUCGAACACGAUUAGAUACCCUGGUAGUCCGCACGGUAAACGAUGGAUGCCCGCUGUUGGUCUGAAUAGGUCAGCGGCCAAGCGAAAGCAUUAAGCAUCCCACCUGGGGAGUACGCCGGCAACGGUGCAACUCAAAGGAAUUGACGG
This 797-nucleotide ribosomal RNA is filed under the name uncultured bacterium. RNAcentral's name for it is "bacterial SSU rRNA". It matches the Rfam family "Bacterial small subunit ribosomal RNA", at positions 118 to 916 of the family's 1533-position model. The record is from RNAcentral. RNAcentral also lists the same sequence under 1 other name.